Photinus pyralis (common eastern firefly) is the source of this 458-nucleotide long non-coding RNA. RefSeq lists it as uncharacterized. The record is from RefSeq and is a predicted model, not a curated record. NCBI's taxonomy places the organism in Eukaryota, Metazoa, Arthropoda, Insecta, Coleoptera, Lampyridae. The transcript is spliced from 3 exons.
GCUUAAUAAACUGGGUGGCGCCCAACUAAUGAGCCGCUGAUAAGAAAACCAGCUGCCGAGAAGCUUAUUGCUCCCGUAGAGAUAUGAUUCCUGCUCCGUUAAUUUAGGUAUUAGUCCUAUGUUAAUUUAAAACUAGGAUAGAAACAGGCAAGGUAGCUCAUUUACACGUAGAUAGGACUAGAUAAUGUGACCAGACGCUUGAUCCCAAGAUUCCGGGACGCAAGCGGUGUUAACCGAGCUGCCGAAUUUUGGAAAUUUCACCCAGCAGUAGCUAAUUAACAAACAUCGUUUGAUUACCUUGUGUUUAGUGUCAAAUAAAACGCGCUUAAUUGGCAAUAAUUUUAAGGCUGGUCCCAGAUUUUUAGGAUAGCAGGGAAUCGAGUAAUUAGUUAAAGAAGUUUUAAUUUUUGGACGUUAUUACCUCAACAAGCCGCCAGCUGGAAAUUUCGAUGGAAUUC